AAUGCAGUUAUGUGACAGCCGGGAGGCAAAAGGGAUUAACAAGAAAAUAGCCUUAAAAAAGCUCUCCACAGAUGGACUGGAUGAGGAGGCCAAGAGCAUCACAAAGAAAUUAGGUUUGCUGAGGGUCCUGGGAAACAAGGCUGGGCCGCGCACGGCACUCAGAAGGGGGUCACAGCAAAUGACGGGCCCCGCAGGCCUUCAAGAGGACUACACCCUUGAUGAGCUGAGCAGCACGGCACUCAGAAGGGGGUCACAGCAAACGACGGGCAAGGAGCCCCGCAUGCUACAGAUCUCCAGCGUGAGAGGCAGACCUUCAAGAGGACUAUACCCUUGAUGAGCUCAGCAACUCGAGAAGAGUGAGGGAUGAGGCAGAGCCCUGGGAGAAGGAAAAAAGGUUGUGGGGUCUCGUGAGAGACUGUUUCCACCUCUUUAUCCUUCAGGACGGAGGACACGAGUAUGAAACCUGAGGCUUCAACGUACAACUCUUUACAAAGCCGGUCUUAAUGUGGGAAGGCGACCGAUUUGGGGGCAAAAACUAAUCUACAGAGCAGCCGUAGACUCGGAACUUGGAAAAGUUAGAUUUGUGUUGUUGUUGUUUUACUACAAUGACCAGAAACCUCACAGCCAUACAACUCUUUACAAAGCCGGUCUUAAUGUGGGAAGGCGACCGAUUUGGGGGCAAAAACUAAUCUACAGAGCAGCCGUAGACUCGGAACUUGGAAAAGUUAGAUUUGUGUUGUUGUUGUUUUACUACAAUGACGAGAAACCUCACAGACAUCGGGGAUUCUGGGAGCUGUAGUUCAAAAGAAAGACUGCCCUCAUCUCCAAUUUCUAGGUCCAUUUCUCUUCGCAUUGCCUCCUGGAACCAGCAGCAGCUUUCCGACCCCUGAAGCAAGUUUCUGCCAGUCUUAAAGUGAAUUAAACGAGGCUUUAGGAAAUGAACUGAGGCUUUCUGUAUAAAGAAAGGCAUGUUCUACUCUUUAACUAUCAUCCCAUCUUCACCUGAUCCGCUGCUCUGCUCAGAACAAAGAAGAAUUGGAUCUAUUCUUCUGCUAAUCUAGCUGGCCAGAUUUUCAGUUACAGUUGAGUUCACAACCUUCUUGCGAAGCAGGUCGGCGCCGGUGUAUGGUGGGUCCAAGAUCCCCCCAGGGAGCUAAUUCUGUGGCUGAACGGGGGGGAUUUGAACCCAGGUCUUGACACUCCCGCCCCUGCUCCAAGCUUUGGCCUAUGUUCCAAACCACAGCUCCCUCUUCCAUCUUUUGGGGACCUGCCAAACCGAGAGUCACAUUGGCUUGAGCCCCCCCCAUGCCCCCAUUUCAUAUGCUGUGC
This 1329-nucleotide long non-coding RNA is filed under the name Pogona vitticeps (central bearded dragon). Its description in RNAcentral is "lncRNA (ENSPVIG00000005797.1)". The record is from RNAcentral. Lineage: Eukaryota; Metazoa; Chordata; Lepidosauria; Squamata; Agamidae.